AGCCUUCCGAAUCCGUACAGAGAUUUCGUCACACAUCAGACCAUCAAUACUGAUGAGACUCACAAAAUAAGCAAAGUG
Non-coding RNA from Schistosoma mansoni, 78 nucleotides. The record is from Rfam. NCBI's taxonomy places the organism in Eukaryota, Metazoa, Platyhelminthes, Trematoda, Strigeidida, Schistosomatidae.